CGUUGAAACACCGGUUCUCGUACGAUCACCGAAGUUAAGCAACGUGAAGUUUGAUCACUACCAAGAUGGGUGACUGCUUGGGAAUGUAAGCUGCUGUAAG
Non-coding RNA from Acanthosepion pharaonis, 100 nucleotides. Lineage: Eukaryota; Metazoa; Mollusca; Cephalopoda; Sepiida; Sepiidae. The record is from the annotation of a GenBank genome assembly.